This 461-nucleotide ribosomal RNA is filed under the name Candidatus Dojkabacteria bacterium. Its description in RNAcentral is "partial 23S ribosomal RNA". It matches the Rfam family "Bacterial large subunit ribosomal RNA", at positions 1 to 417 of the family's 2925-position model. The record is from RNAcentral.
ACCCAAGCUACGAAGGGCCAACGGUGAAUGCCUUGGCGACAGGAACCGAAGAAGGACGUGGGAGGCUGCGAUAAGCCACGGGGAGGUGCCGACCUACCGUCGAUCCGUGGAUGUCCGAAUGGGGAAACCCAGCACCCGUCAUGGGGUGUUACUCCUGCCUGAACACAUAGGGCAGAGAGAGGGAACCAGGGGAACUGAAACAUCUAAGUACCCUGAGGAAAGGAAAGUAAAAACGACUCCGUAAGUAGCGGCGAGCGAACGCGGAGUAGCCCAAACCAGACUGGUGUGAUAGCCCGAUGGCGUUGCCAGUCCGGGGUUGUGGGACGUGACAGAGGAAUCAUCGGAUCCUCACAGAGUUACAAAGCUGCUGGGUAGUGGAAGUGUCUGGAAAGUCACGCCAUAGAGGGUAAUGGCCCCGUACACGAAACUCAGCAGCCUCUGGUCAAUGUUCCCAAGUAACG